RNAcentral lists this ribosomal RNA (729 nucleotides) under bacterium SM95. RNAcentral describes it as "bacterial SSU rRNA". It matches the Rfam family "Bacterial small subunit ribosomal RNA", at positions 73 to 785 of the family's 1533-position model. The record is from RNAcentral.
UAAGAGCUUGCUCUUAUGAAGUUAGCGGCGGACGGGUGAGUAACACGUGGGUAACCUGCCCAUAAGACUGGGAUAACUCCGGGAAACCGGGGCUAAUACCGGAUAACAUUUUGAACCGCAUGGUUCGAAAUUGAAAGGCGGCUUCGGCUGUCACUUAUGGAUGGACCCGCGUCGCAUUAGCUAGUUGGUGAGGUAACGGCUCACCAAGGCAACGAUGCGUAGCCGACCUGAGAGGGUGAUCGGCCACACUGGGACUGAGACACGGCCCAGACUCCUACGGGAGGCAGCAGUAGGGAAUCUUCCGCAAUGGACGAAAGUCUGACGGAGCAACGCCGCGUGAGUGAUGAAGGCUUUCGGGUCGUAAAACUCUGUUGUUAGGGAAGAACAAGUGCUAGUUGAAUAAGCUGGCACCUUGACGGUACCUAACCAGAAAGCCACGGCUAACUACGUGCCAGCAGCCGCGGUAAUACGUAGGUGGCAAGCGUUAUCCGGAAUUAUUGGGCGUAAAGCGCGCGCAGGUGGUUUCUUAAGUCUGAUGUGAAAGCCCACGGCUCAACCGUGGAGGGUCAUUGGAAACUGGGAGACUUGAGUGCAGAAGAGGAAAGUGGAAUUCCAUGUGUAGCGGUGAAAUGCGUAGAGAUAUGGAGGAACACCAGUGGCGAAGGCGACUUUCUGGUCUGUAACUGACACUGAGGCGCGAAAGCGUGGGGAGCAAACAGGAUUAGAUAC